UUUGGAGCUGUAAUUGGUGGGAAGAUUGCUAGAAAAGAGACAAGAACAGGAUUAAAAAAAAUAAAACAAAAUCCCAUUGAUUGAUGUUGAAGAUUAUUGUUGACCAGUCCAGGUUCCACAAAUCUUUUGCAACUUAUCUUAGUGACUAAUGAAUUUCAACUUUGAACUCCAUUGCCGACGGAAUUUAGUGGAUACUGCAGGGAAAACGCAAUUCUCGACGACUUUUUUGGGAGAGAUAUUUCGUCGCUAAAUGUGAAAGUGCUGCCAUAAUGAAGCAAAUUAAAGCAAUUGCACGAGUUUGCUUCGUAAUGGGCACAGCAACAGCCUUAACUUUGCCUUUCAU
Molecule: long non-coding RNA, 343 nt
Filed under: Gossypium raimondii (Peruvian cotton)
Lineage: Eukaryota; Viridiplantae; Streptophyta; Magnoliopsida; Malvales; Malvaceae
Description: long non-coding RNA (GRAI_LNC000046)
Source: RNAcentral